This 253-nucleotide ribosomal RNA is filed under the name uncultured bacterium. RNAcentral describes it as "partial 16S ribosomal RNA". It matches the Rfam family "Bacterial small subunit ribosomal RNA", at positions 524 to 776 of the family's 1533-position model. The record is from RNAcentral.
UACGUAGGGGGCAAGCGUUGUCCGGAUUUAUUGGGCGUAAAGCGCGUGUAGGCGGCCCGGUAAGUCCGCUGUGAAAGUCGGGGGCUCAACCCUCGAAUGCCGGUGGAUACUGUCGGGCUAGAGUACGGAAGAGGCGAGUGGAAUUCCUGGUGUAGCGGUGAAAUGCGCAGAUAUCAGGAGGAACACCCAUUGCGAAGGCAGCUCGCUGGGACGUUACUGACGCUGAGACGCGAAAGCGUGGGGAGCAAACAGG